This 757-nucleotide long non-coding RNA is filed under the name Capsella rubella. RNAcentral describes it as "long non-coding RNA (CRUB_LNC004545)". Lineage: Eukaryota; Viridiplantae; Streptophyta; Magnoliopsida; Brassicales; Brassicaceae. The record is from RNAcentral.
GGGUAUGUGGACUCACGUCCCAGCUCUCUUGCUCUUUAACAUGAAGAAAUUUUUAACAGUUUAGUUGUUGAUUGAUCGGUUCCUCAAAGAUGGCCCUUCAAUAAUCGAAUGGAUUGUGACUUGUUUAGAUGAUUCUUUCCAAUCUGUUUGAUAUUGUGAAUAGUUUUAAAGAGAAACAUGCCAACCAACCUUCGGUUACUCUUUGUAUUAACAUAACGCGCCAUUGAUUGGUAUUUUUGACAUAUUUUUGGCUCUACAUGCUUGCUUUUGAGAGUAGGGAGGGAAUUCUUGGACUUGAGUUAAGUAGGACUGUUUUCAUUGAUGCUUUUAGGAAUCCGAUUGCAGUUAUGAAUAGUUUCAGUUCAGAAACAUGUGCUCUUCGUUCUCCAACGGAUUUUGAGUCCAAGUAGGUCUCCCUUUUAAGUAUUGGAUUGGUUUCACAACUCUUAAUAAGAUCUGAAUAUUUCAUUGUGUGAUGGAACAUUCAUUCCAGUUCUGUGUGGUAAUUCUUACAAUUCGUUUUGGUUUUUGUAGAUAUGUCCGGUUUGUAACAAAAGGGUGAAGGCGCAUAUGGUGGAUCAUAUAACAACACAUCAUAGAGAUGUCUUGAAGAUAUCCUUUUUUCUUUUCUUUUCUUAACCUUUUAAGCCAAAAUUAAUGCCUCUCUAAUGAAAGUGUUUUAUUUGAAUGUCCUUGACCGAGAACUUUACAGUGAGCAGAAGGAAAUGUCUUACAGAGAAGAUCCAUAUUCCUCGGA